This is a long non-coding RNA of Mercenaria mercenaria, 992 nucleotides long. RefSeq lists it as uncharacterized. The transcript has 4 exons. The record is from RefSeq and is a predicted model, not a curated record. Lineage: Eukaryota; Metazoa; Mollusca; Bivalvia; Venerida; Veneridae.
GGCGGAUUUGAAUAUAUUGAUUUACUAUGAAACUAACAUAAUAAAUUAUUUUUGUAAAAACGAUGGGGAGUUAUAACCUUACAAUGAAAUCAAACUUAAAACAAUUAAUUCAAAGAAUUCUUAAGAAGAAAAUAUUCAGCCAUAAUAUAUGAAAUACAGUGCAUGUAUGUUUAAAGCAUUUUGUAGGAUCAAAAUGAAAUAUUGAUUUCUCUAUAUUGCUGUGUGGGGUUGACGGAAACUUCUUUGGUUCUCCCGGAAGAAAAAUUCUGAAGUUCUAAUCACACAUGCAUCUACUUUGUUUAUUUUAGGUAAAGAUGAUAUAAUUGGCCGUGAUCUCAAUGACCUAGAAUGCUCGAGAAAAUCGUGCAACUUUGGAUGUACACUUUGUUACUAUGAUAGAGUUACACUUAUUUAAAGAAACUUUGAAUACAUAUCCGGAAUUUUCAAAAGAAUUCAAGGAUAAAAUAGUGACAUUCAGUCUUAAGCGGAUGCUGAAGUGUUUCUUCGUUUGACACCAUCUCGACAAGUGGGCGAUCUACCUGCUAGCACGGGACCGCAGUAAGGUGAAGGUGAGCCGACAUCUAUGACAUUCUAAAUUGCUCUGUAGCAAGCCAAGGUGACACAAAUACAACGUUCAAAGACAGAACAGUGAAAAGAUGGUUAGAUACUGCAGCCACGAGAAUCAAUAAGGCUUACGUUGCCAACGCUACAGAUAGUGGACCCAGCAUAAAGACGUAUUACAUCACAGCGUUAUAUUUUACGUGUACGUCACUGACGUCAAUAGGAUUCGGAAACGUGUCACCAAAUACUAAUGGAAUUGACAUGCCGGUAAAGAUGAUAUAUUUAUAUUUGGUGGUGACUGCAGUGACGUGGAAUGCUCGGGAAAAUCGUUCUGUUUUGUACGUGCCCUUAGUUACUAUGAUAUUAACAAGAUAGAGUUACACGUGCUGAAAGAAACAAUGUAUAUAUAACCAGAAUUUUCAAAAAGAAUU